Molecule: long non-coding RNA, 1926 nt
Organism: Sapajus apella (tufted capuchin)
Lineage: Eukaryota; Metazoa; Chordata; Mammalia; Primates; Cebidae
Exons: 2
Source: RefSeq, a predicted model, not a curated record
UUCUCCAUGUUGUUCAGGGUGGUCUCAAACUCCCGACCUCAGGUGAUCUGCCCACCUCAGCCUCCCAAAGUACUGAGUUUACAGGCAUGAGCCACCAUGCCUGGCCAAUCAGCAGCUUUAAGAACAGAGCAUCUCAGGAGGUCCAACCAGAUCUCUGUCCACCAGGUUACCAGAAGGAUGAUCCUCAGAGGCUCUUUUGGGAAAGUUUGUAAAUUCCAUGGUGGUUUGAUGGUGUGAGACACUGACUUUAGCUAUAUGCUCAGGAGCUGCUGCAAACAGCAUGCAGGGAGUAGGCAGAUAUUCUGCCCCUCUUGACACGUAGGAGGAAGAUAGAGUGUUGCAAUGGCAUUUGGAAGCUUUCAUUUUCUUUUCAGAAUUGUUCACCAGAUCCUUAUCAGGUAGAAGACUAAUAAGAGCAUGAACAGUGAAGGGUACCUGAGGCUUACCCUUUCCCUGAGGCUAAAACCAGCAAAGGAAACCAUUAGCCAGCCACUUUUGUCAGGCACUUCCUUUGUGCAGAGAACUUGCUGUGCUGUGUGCCUUAUGGGGGGAGGAUAAACAGCUGGGAGGAGGGGCCCCCUUCAGAGCGUCCCUUGGGCUGUAUGAGAGGGCAACACUGAGGCCCUCACCAUCACUUGCAAGAAAUCACCGACUGGCAUUUGCAAAACAAAAGGUAAAUGAACAUGUACAUUGGCAUUCCGUGUAUAAGAUGAUUGUCACCAGAGUCAGGUGUGGCCAACUAGAGAAGUUGCUAAGAAUGAGGUUUUUGAAGAAACUGUUGAAGCCAGACCUUUAUUCGGCAUCGUCUUGUUCCCUGCUGCGUCAGCUUGCUCCGCUCCUUUCUUCCCUGCCUCUGUUCAGAGCACCAUGAGUGCCCCCUCCAUCCCCCCACCCAGGCACGCACCAGGGACUUGGAAGCCAUGCUAGAUGUUCACCUCCCUCCUUCCUCCAAAUCCACCCCAAAUUCUACCCCCUCCAUUCUCUCCAUUGUGGCCAAUAAUGCCCAAGGCUUCCGGUGACUCCAUGUCACCCUCAGGAUAGAGUUCCAGCCCUCCUCAGCCCUCUGUGCCUCUUUCGUCUUUACCCCCUACCCUCAAAUGUUUGUGGCUUUUAUACCUCUGUUCCCUCUAUUUUCUUGAUUGGAAUGCCUAAUGACUCUGAGUGGAAAACUCCUAUGCACUCUUUUUUUUUUUUUUUUUUUUGAGAUAGAGUCUCUCUCUGUCGCCCAGGCUGGAGUGCAGUUGCAUGAUCUCAGCUCUCUGCAACCUCUAUCUCCUGGUACUCAAAUAUGAAUGUAAGAAGUGGUGCUCAACAAGCAUCAGGAAAUCUGGCUCCUGAUGAAGACAGGAGUUGGUGAACAUCUGCAAGCUUGGAAGGCUGCCAGCCGACACCUUCACUGGAAUGCAAACUCCCCCCUCCUCCCUGUUCAGCCUCAGUGCCUGUGGCCAGCUGCAGAGCCCUCUUCCCUUGCCAUGUUUAGUCCUCAGCAGUAUAUGCAGAAGCUGGUGUGUUACUGACCAGAGUAAUGCGGUGUUAUUGCAAGACUGGUAUUUGUAUUCUCAAUCAAUUUCCUUUAGAAGGAGAUUCAUUUAACACUUUAGAGGGGGGUUGAUUUUUAUGAUGGAGCUGGGAAAAUGAAAAGAUACAUAUUUAAUUUUUAUGUUUUUAAUUAACAACUAAAAAUUGUAUAUGUUGAUCAUGUACAAUGUGUUGUUUUGCAAUAUGUAUAGGCUUACUUUAGAGAAUUGUGGUUGCGGUUCCAGGCCACUGCAAUAAAGCAAAUAUCACAAUAAAGCAAGUCACAUACAUUUUUAUAUUUCCCAGUGCAUGUAAAAGUUAUGUAUACACUGUAAUCUGUUAAUGCAGUAGUAUGAUGUCUAAAAAACAAUGUACAUACUUUCAUUAAAAUAUCUUUUUAUUUUUUAA